RNAcentral lists this small RNA (770 nucleotides) under Pongo abelii (Sumatran orangutan). RNAcentral's name for it is "retained intron". The record is from RNAcentral. Lineage: Eukaryota; Metazoa; Chordata; Mammalia; Primates; Hominidae.
AAAAUUUCUUUCUAAAAAAGCAUAACUCAGAUUCUUAAUACAGAUUGUUCCAAAGCACAUUAGGAUGGCGGAGUUAUUCUUAUCAACUUCAGUCUGAAUUACUUUUAAAUUUGUCCCCAAAGGUGGUUUUGACAUUAUGAGUUCUACUCUGAUCUUUGUUCUUGUGUCUCCUGAAGUUCCAUGUAAUAGAUACUCUAACCCGAGAAGUGAUGGCUAUUUAGAUUUUCUUUUGCAUACAAUUCUCAUUCCCAAAGAUGUCUCCCUUUGGUUGUCCAAAAAGCUUUCUGAGGUAUAGUUACUUUUACAAGAGGAAAUACCAUUUUAAUUCAUUUUUGCUCUUGAGAUUGUGUAUGUGUGGUAGGUGUUUUUGUUGUAUUAUUACAGGUUGAUGAAAAGCCCAGAACCUUGAUGACAGAUUGUCUGGUUAUAAAGCAUUUUUUACGUAAAAUCAUCAUGGUGCACCCUAAGGUUAGAUUUCAUUUCAGUGUAAAGGUAAAUGGAAUCCUCUCCACAGAGAUCUUUGGGGUAGAGAAUGAACCCACUUUGAACCUUGGGAAUGGAAUUGCUCUUGUGGUCGACUCUCAGCAUUAUGUGAGUAGACCAAAUUUUGGUACAAUUGAAUCACGCUGCAGCAGAAUUCACCCUGUGCUAGGACAUCCAGUAAUGCUUUUCAUCCCUGAAGACGUGGCUGGCAUGGACUUGUUGGGAGAACUGAUACUGACUCCAGCAGCUGCACUGUGCCCCAGCCCAAAGGUUUCUUCCAACCAGCU